RNAcentral lists this long non-coding RNA (2917 nucleotides) under Cotesia glomerata. RNAcentral describes it as "uncharacterized LOC123258409, transcript variant X1". Lineage: Eukaryota; Metazoa; Arthropoda; Insecta; Hymenoptera; Braconidae. The record is from RNAcentral.
UUCAAAUAAUAGUGUUUGGAUUGCUGGAUAUAAAAUGUAACAUCUAACAUUUAGAUGGGAGCUAAGUCCAAGUCCCAGCAAGCGAGAUGAAUCUGUAUGCUGGAUCUAUAACAUAAAAAAUAAAAUGACAAGAGCUGGACUCCAAUCAGCUGGAGCAUGGACACUACCACUACCACUACAAGUACUAACUAAUCUUAGGCUGACACGAGCACGAGUUGUUAGCUGUAGCAUCUACCAUAAGCAGAGCUGUUUUUCUCGAGCGCAAAUCAUCAGCUUGAUCCCGGUCUCGAACCUCGCACGCGCUCGUACCGCCCACCUCAGUCUCCAGCCUCCUAUUCAGCUUCAGCUUCUUAAAUCGCAACACCUACGUACGACUUGCUCGAGACUCUUCAUCAACCUCAACCACUUCCAAUUAAUGCCGAUGGAGUACCAAUAAAUAUAAUAAUUAAUACCAAGCCUUUACUGGUUAUCCUUACAUUAAAUAUCAAUUAUUAUUUAUCCUGCAAACCAGUAAAUAGUUACAGUUAUAUCACCCAACACUUGAAUUUAAAAUCAAUGUCCUCUUACGCAAGAGCAAAACUGUUUUGCGAACGCUCUUCGUUCCAGGCUUUAUUGCUCUCAAUCUUAGACAAUAGACACGUAUAACAUGCCGGUCUGUUUAAUCAUAAAGAGAUUCACCCUAUACUCAUCUCGGCAAUGUCUUAGUGAUGUUGUGUGUUGUAUUAUAUUAUAUCAAGACCAAGUCUAUUAUUAUCGGUGGCGUUGUGUUGACGAUCAAGAAACUAGUCGACAUAACAAACACAUGUGAGCAUGUGUGGAUAUGGAUCACAACAGUGUGGGUGGCAAGUUAAUCUCCGUACCGGAGUUGUAAUGAUAAUAAUUAUUAUCAUCUUCUUCGGAAUAAUCGGUGCAAUUUUAUGGUCUACUGAGAAACGCGUGGAUCCGUUCAUCAUCUAAUAUAUCACUGAUAUAUUGAGAUUGCAGAUAUAAUAGUUUUGGCUGAGGUUCGUGGGUGAGUGAACAUCUUCCGUUGUGUCUUCAGGUGUAGCGAGCACAUUCCUGAAGGCUAUCUCUUGGCAUUCUCAAUCACCCGAUUAUUAAAUAAAAGGCUUCUUCUAACAAGAUACUGAAGAAUCAACGCUCUCACAGGUCAAGGAUACCCUUUAGCUGCAAGGAUAAUAAUAUAAUACACAUAAGCCGAAAAUAUGCAAGGUACUUCCUGAAAAGAAGCUACACAAGUGAAAAGUAUCAGGACAAUGAGCUCGACUAAAGGACAAACGCCCUAAUGAGCUCUAUUUAUACUUAUACUUAUUUCUGAAUGAGUUGAGAAACGAGUCAACAACCCAAGACUCUUACCGUAUAGUAGUUAAGGACCGAGUAUUGUUCCACGAAGGCUCGACCACUUAUACAUUUUCAGGAUUAACUGGCUAUUCUAUAAAGGGUACAUUUCUUCUUAUUAUAUUUACUCCAAGAGACUCGACAUAAUAACCAAUAAUGUAACGAAUUUUAAAAACUUUUACCAGUUUAUUUUUUCAAGCUCCGCUGAAACAUGAAAAUUUUUUUCAACCAUCCUGAGCCUCCUGAUAUUAUUAGCCAUCUCUGGCCUAAUUAUGGUCCCUCUGGAAUUCGCCGGUUGAAAAAAGCACAGCCGACUUGUGAGUCCAUGAUCUCGAUAGUAAAUUUACAUGUACAUUUGUGGGCGAUGCCGACCAGAGACCGGAGUAUGUUCAUGUACGUAGAUACAGCCACUCCCAUAUCACAUCUCGCGUAAAACAACAUAACACAAGACAGAUAUAAGACUCUGGAGAAAAUGAGGGAGAGAGACCACGAAUCAUUAUCGUUUAUGCAAGCCAAGCUACGAUCGCUCAACUGGAACACCGUGAAAUAAAACGUGCAAGUAAACUCGGCGGCCUCGAUGACGUAAACACUUGGAUUUAUAUAUUUUUAUCCGCUAUCAAUCGUGUCUCUGGUCACCUAAAUCACCACUAAGACAUUUUCAGGAUAAAAAAUCUUAAACAAGAAAUAAUAUGCAUUAAUAUUAGAUUUUUUAGGCACAAAGCAGAGGCUGGGGACUUUCACCACGUACAUGGUCAGACCUUUCUCCGGGCGUUUUCUUCCCGAGCGCUAUUCACCGCAAGAUAACCCAUUGAAUUUAAUACGCAACUAAAACCAUUAUUGUAUAGACCAUUAUAUAUUCUCUCUGGAGAUCUUUUACCCCCCGGGUUAAAUUUACAACGAGCACAUUGCAGAGACCAGAAACCGUAGACCGGUCAGCUUCACCUUAGCUGUGGUACUUGUGCUGGAAUAAAGUGUUUACAGUGAACUUUUCAAGCUCACGCUACACUAGAGCGUAGUCAUGCUUGAGCACGCGAGUGCCCUCCAGCAUCAACGAGCAUCAUUUUAUAUUUUAUAUAUUUUAUAUGCUUAUUAUUUAUCCACAUACAUGUUGCAAGCUGGAGAGGCCAUCCUCUGGCUAUCUUCUUAGCUUGCUCAUAUUGGAAUAGAAGACUAGAGCCAGGAUAUUUUCAAGGCAGCUCCUUAAAGCAUCAUACAGACCAGUUCAACGUCAUCUUUGUAAACCAGAUAAAAAAGUAUAUUAUUCAAGAUUAGAUUAAAGCACGCAGGUGUGAGCCUGAGCAAUUGAUAGUAAGCCAUGAUUCAAAGUAUAAAUACCAAAGAUAAAUAAUAUAUAAGGAAAGUCCGAAAAAGGAAUAAAUAAAAGUUGUAACGAGAAGAAAAAGCUUGUCAGAGCAUUCUCUUCCCUGAGGAUCUAUACAGCUCGUGCAUGACCGAUUGUGGCUCGUGUGCGUAUCCAAGCGACAGAUAAACCGGCUUCAAGAAGUUAUCCAUCGACUUGCUGAAUAAUAAUCGCGUUUCACAUAUGUUCAGGGCUUAUCCGGUUCUAUAUUACACAGAA